Molecule: ribosomal RNA, 429 nt
Filed under: Chloroflexota bacterium
Lineage: Bacteria; Bacillati; Chloroflexota
Description: Chloroflexi bacterium partial 16S ribosomal RNA
Rfam family: Bacterial small subunit ribosomal RNA
Source: RNAcentral
UGGGGAAUAUUGCACAAUGGGCGCAAGCCUGAUGCAGCCAUGCCGCGUGUAUGAAGAAGGCCUUCGGGUUGUAAAGUACUUUCAGUCGGGAGGAAGGUGGUAAGGUUAAUAACCUUAUCAAUUGACGUUACCGACAGAAGAAGCACCGGCUAACUCCGUGCCAGCAGCCGCGGUAAUACGGCGGGUGCAAGCGUUAAUCGGAAUUACUGGGCGUAAAGCGCACGCAGGCGGUUGAUUGAGUCAGAUGUGAAAUCCCCGGGCUUAACCCGGGAAUUGCAUCUGAUACUGGUCAGCUAGAGUCUUGUAGAGGGGGGUAGAAUUCCAUGUGUAGCGGUGAAAUGCGUAGGGAUGUGGAGGAAUACCGGUGGCGAAGGCGGCCCCCUGGACAAAGACUGACGCUCAGGUGCGAAAGCGUGGGGAGCAAACAGG